Molecule: transfer RNA, 68 nt
Filed under: Phryganistria guangxiensis
Lineage: Eukaryota; Metazoa; Arthropoda; Insecta; Phasmatodea; Phasmatidae
Description: tRNA-Tyr
Source: RNAcentral
AGUGAGAUGGCUGAAAAUAUAGGCGAUAAAUUGUAAAUUUAUUUAUAGGUUUAAUAACCUUCUUUCUA